UCCCAGGUGGCUCAGUGGUAAAGAAUCUGGCUGCCAAGCAGGAGACCUGGGUUCAAUCCCUGGUUCAGGAA
RNAcentral lists this transfer RNA (71 nucleotides) under Bos indicus (zebu cattle). It matches the Rfam family "tRNA". Rfam says of the family: Transfer RNA (tRNA) molecules are approximately 80 nucleotides in length. Their secondary structure includes four short double-helical elements and three loops (D, anti-codon, and T loops). Further hydrogen bonds mediate the characteristic L-shaped molecular structure. tRNAs have two regions of fundamental functional importance: the anti-codon, which is responsible for specific mRNA codon recognition, and the 3' end, to which the tRNAs corresponding amino acid is attached (by aminoacyl-tRNA synthetases). tRNAs cope with the degeneracy of the genetic code in two manners: having more than one tRNA (with a specific anti-codon) for a particular amino acid; and 'wobble' base-pairing, i.e. permitting non-standard base-pairing at the 3rd anti-codon position. RNAcentral also lists the same sequence under 4 other names. Lineage: Eukaryota; Metazoa; Chordata; Mammalia; Artiodactyla; Bovidae. The record is from Rfam by way of RNAcentral.